Molecule: long non-coding RNA, 432 nt
Organism: Cygnus olor (mute swan)
Lineage: Eukaryota; Metazoa; Chordata; Aves; Anseriformes; Anatidae
Exons: 3
Source: RefSeq, a predicted model, not a curated record
AGUUGACAGCUUAUGGAGCACACAAUUCAAAUUAAGACAUAAUAUUCUUACAGUUUAAUGUUUAGCAAGUACCAGUAGGCCAUUAGACUGUGCAUUUAUCUAGCUUAUGACUUCACAAUGCCAAGUGCUGAAUUGGAUUCAUACCUUUAGUGGAUAAGGAAGAUGGUCAAAAAGGAGAGAAGGGCUGCAGUUGCAUUUCCAUUUCAGCUACCUGGGAGUCACAACAAAGAAUGAAGCAUACUAUAUCAUUAAACACAAGACUGAGAAUUAAAUGAUCUGGGUCAUCAAGCAGCUGUGGAGGAAUCUUCUGCAAGAGUAAUUAUGUCUUCAAAUUUUUCCGCACAAAAACAAGACUACAGGAUGCAUCACCCUCCUCAAUUUAUAACCCCCCCCCACCUCCAUAGUCCUAAUUUCUCCAGACUCUAUAUUCAG